RNAcentral lists this ribosomal RNA (425 nucleotides) under uncultured bacterium. RNAcentral describes it as "partial 16S ribosomal RNA". It matches the Rfam family "Bacterial small subunit ribosomal RNA", at positions 354 to 796 of the family's 1533-position model. The record is from RNAcentral.
GUGGGGAAUCUUGCGCAAUGGGCGAAAGCCUGACGCAGCCAUGCCGCGUGGAUGAUGAAGGUCUUAGGAUUGUAAAAUCCUUUCACCGGUGAAGAUAAUGACUGUAGCCGGAGAAGAAGCCCCGGCUAACUUCGUGCCAGCAGCCGCGGUAAUACGUAGGGGGCUAGCGUUGCUCGGAAUUACUGGGCGUAAAGGGAGCGUAGGCGGACAUUUAAGUCAGGGGUGAAAUCCCGAGGCUCAACCUCGGAACUGCCUUUGAUACGGGGUGUCUUGAGUGUGGGAGAGGUGAGUGGAACUCCGAGUGUAGAGGUGAAAUUCGUAGAUAUUCGGAAGAACACCAGUGGCGAAGGCGACUCACUGGCUCAUUACUGACGCUGAGGCUCGAAAGCGUGGGGAGCAAACAGGAUUAGAUACCCGUGUAGUCC